UACGAAGGGGGCUAGCGUUGCUCGGAAUUACUGGGCGUAAAGCGCACGUAGGCGGCUUUCUAAGUCGGGGGUGAAAUCCUGGAGCUCAACUCCAGAACUGCCUUCGAUACUGGAAAGCUCGAGUCCGGGAGAGGUGAGUGGAACUGCGAGUGUAGAGGUGAAAUUCGUAGAUAUUCGCAAGAACACCAGUGGCGAAGGCGGCUCACUGGCCCGGUACUGACGCUGAGGAGCGAAAGCGUGGGGAGCAAACAGG
RNAcentral lists this ribosomal RNA (253 nucleotides) under uncultured bacterium. Its description in RNAcentral is "partial 16S ribosomal RNA". It matches the Rfam family "Bacterial small subunit ribosomal RNA", at positions 524 to 776 of the family's 1533-position model. The record is from RNAcentral.